GUGAGAAACCUGCCUUUCAGUGGGGGACAACAGUUGGAAACGACUGCUAAUACCGCAUAAUGUUUCCGGACCGCAUGAUCUGGAAACCAAAGAUUUAUUGCUGAAAGAUGGUCUCGCGUCUGAUUAGCUAGUUGGUGGGGUAACGGCCCACCAAGGCGACGAUCAGUAGCCGGUCUGAGAGGAUGAACGGCCACAUUGGGACUGAGAUACGGCCCAGACUCCUACGGGAGGCAGCAGUGGGGAAUAUUGGGCAAUGGGCGAAAGCCUGACCCAGCAACGCCGCGUGAAGGAAGAAGGCCUUCGGGUUGUAAACUUCUUUUACCAGGGACGAAACAAAUGACGGUACCUGGAGAAAAAGCAACGGCUAACUACGUGCCAGCAGCCGCGGUAAUACGUAGGUUGCAAGCGUUGUCCGGAUUUACUGGGUGUAAAGGGCGUGUAGGCGGAGAUGCAAGUUGGGAGUGAAAUCCAUGGGCUCAACCCAUGAACUGCUUUCAAAACUGCAUCCCUUGAGUAUCGGAGAGGCAAGCGGAAUUCCUAGUGUAGCGGUGAAAUGCGUAGAUAUUAGGAGGAACACCAGUGGCGAAGGCGGCUUGCUGGACGACAACUGACGCUGAGGCGCGAAAGCGUGGGGAGCAAACAGGAUUAGAUACCCUGGUAGUCCGCGCUGUAAACGAUGAAUACUAGGUGUGGGAGGACUGACCCCUUCCGUGCCGCAGUUAACACAAUAAGUAUUCCACCUGGGGAGUACGACCGCAAGGUUGAAACUCAAAGGAAUUGACGGGGGCCCGCACAAGCAGUGGAUUAUGUGGUUUAAUUCGACGCAACGCGAAGAACCUUACCAGGACUUGACAUCCAACUAACGAAGUAGAGAUACAUUAGGUGCCCUUCGGGGAAAGUUGAGACAGGUGGUGCAUGGUUGUCGUCAGCUCGUGUCGUGAGAUGUUGGGUUAAGUCCCGCAACGAGCGCAACCCCUAUUGUUAGUUGCUACGAAAGAGCACUCUAGCGAGACUGCCGUUGACAAAACGGAGGAAGGCGGGGACGACGUCAAAUCAUCAUGCCCCUUAUGUCCUGGGCUACACACGUAAUACAAUGGUGGUUAACAGAGGGAAGCACAGCCGCGAGGUGGGGCAAAUCCCUAAAAGCCAUCUCAGUUCGGAUUGCAGGCUGCAACUCG
This 1178-nucleotide ribosomal RNA is filed under the name uncultured Oscillospiraceae bacterium. RNAcentral's name for it is "bacterial SSU rRNA". It matches the Rfam family "Bacterial small subunit ribosomal RNA", at positions 117 to 1314 of the family's 1533-position model. The record is from RNAcentral. Lineage: Bacteria; Bacillati; Bacillota; Clostridia; Eubacteriales; Oscillospiraceae.